RNAcentral lists this ribosomal RNA (228 nucleotides) under uncultured bacterium. RNAcentral describes it as "partial 16S ribosomal RNA". It matches the Rfam family "Bacterial small subunit ribosomal RNA", at positions 30 to 258 of the family's 1533-position model. The record is from RNAcentral.
CGAACGCUGGCGGCGUGCUUAACACAUGCAAGUCGAGCGGUAAGGCCCUUUCGGGGGUACACGAGCGGCGAACGGGUGAGUAACACGUGGGUGACCUGCCCUCAGCUCUGGGAUAAGCCGUGGGAAACCGGGUCUAAUACUGGAUAUGACUCCAUGACGCAUGUUGUGGGGUGGAAAGCCUUGUGCGGCUGAGGAUGGGCCCGCGGCCUAUCAGCUUGUUGGUGGGGU